RNAcentral lists this long non-coding RNA (216 nucleotides) under Danio rerio (zebrafish). Its description in RNAcentral is "lncRNA (ENSDARG00000117435.1)". Lineage: Eukaryota; Metazoa; Chordata; Actinopteri; Cypriniformes; Danionidae. The record is from RNAcentral.
AUAUUUUAUUGCAUCUCUAUGUUUCAGAAUCUCCUGCCAGUCCGAGUGCUUCUACAGCUGAGACUCAAACAACAGAACCUACAACACCGUCUGCAAGUGCAAGCCCUUCAGAUUCUCAAACAGCAGAACCCACAACAUCUACCACAACAAAUGCUCUUUCAACUGAGACUCAAACUUCCACAACUCCUUUAAGUGAGUAACCAUUAUUAUCUAAUC